RNAcentral lists this ribosomal RNA (361 nucleotides) under uncultured Streptococcus sp. RNAcentral describes it as "bacterial SSU rRNA". It matches the Rfam family "Bacterial small subunit ribosomal RNA", at positions 8 to 359 of the family's 1533-position model. The record is from RNAcentral. Lineage: Bacteria; Bacillati; Bacillota; Bacilli; Lactobacillales; Streptococcaceae.
AGAGUUUGAUCCUGGCUCAGGACGAACGCUGGCGGCGUGCCUAAUACAUGCAAGUAGAACGCUGAAGAGAGGAGCUUGCUCUUCUUGGAUGAGUUGCGAACGGGUGAGUAACGCGUAGGUAACCUGCCUUGUAGCGGGGGAUAACUAUUGGAAACGAUAACUAAUACCGCGCAACAAUGGAUGACACAUGUCAUUUAUUUGAAAGGGGCAAUUGCUCCACUACAAGAUGGACCUGCGUUGUAUUAGCUAGUAGGUGAGGUAACGGCUCACCUAGGCGACGAUACAUAGCCGACCUGAGAGGGUGAUCGGCCACACUGGGACUGAGACACGGCCCAGACUCCUACGGGAGGCAGCAGAAGGG